UCCUUUACGAACUGCACUACAAAAUAUACUUUAAAAGAAUUUUUUGUGCACCAUGGACGGUGCAGAAUUGCACGCAUCAUUACGGAGCUGGAAAAUUUUUUUUUUUCCACACAUCGUAUCUCGAUUCUAUACAUGAGCCAAUCAUCAUAGACGAUGCGCAUAUUCUGCACCAUCUACGGUACACAAAAAUUUUUUCUAUACUUUAGAUGCCAGUCAUUCACCAUUGCACAAUUCAUCACGAUCAGAAUGAAUUAUAAUUAUUGGGAGAGAAAGUGAAAUUUAUCCACUAGAAUAUGAAUUCUCUAUAUUUUUUUGAAACAAACGGAAAAGGAUCCACCCAUAAUACAUUUGUCUAGGUUGUAAUCUUUGAAAACCCGCC
This 379-nucleotide long non-coding RNA is filed under the name Elaeis guineensis (African oil palm). Its description in RNAcentral is "long non-coding RNA (EGUI_LNC019040)". Lineage: Eukaryota; Viridiplantae; Streptophyta; Magnoliopsida; Arecales; Arecaceae. The record is from RNAcentral.